AGAGUUUGAUCAUGGCUCAGGAUGAACGCUAGCUACAGGCUUAACACAUGCAAGUCGAGGGGAAACGACAUCGAAAGCUUGCUUUUGAUGGGCGUCGACCGGCGCACGGGUGAGUAACGCGUAUCCAACCUGCCCAUCACUUGGGGAUAACCUUGCGAAAGUAAGACUAAUACCCAAUGACGUCUCUAGAAGACAUCUGAAAGAGAUUAAAGAUUUAUCGGUGAUGGAUGGGGAUGCGUCUGAUUAGCUUGUUGGCGGGGUAAGACCGCCAACGA
Molecule: ribosomal RNA, 275 nt
Filed under: uncultured bacterium
Lineage: Bacteria
Description: partial 16S ribosomal RNA
Rfam family: Bacterial small subunit ribosomal RNA
Source: RNAcentral